This 4063-nucleotide long non-coding RNA is filed under the name Mus musculus (house mouse). RNAcentral's name for it is "long non-coding RNA chr11:35311188-35315251". The record is from RNAcentral. Lineage: Eukaryota; Metazoa; Chordata; Mammalia; Rodentia; Muridae.
UUGAGACCCCUUUGGGGGUCAAAUGAUUCUUUCAUAGAUAUUCUGCAUAUCAGAUAUUUGCAUUGUGAUUCAUAACAAUAACAAGAUGGCAGUUAUGAAGAAACAAUGAAAAUAACUUUAUGGUUGGGGGUCACCACAACAUGAGGAACUGUACUAAAGGGCUGUAGCAUUAGGCAGGUUGAACUGUACUAAAGGGCUGUAGCAUUAGGCAGGUUGAACUGUAUUAAAGGGCUGUAGCAUUAGGCAGGUUGAACUGUAUUAAAGGGCUGUAGCAUUAGGCAGGUUGAACUGUAUUAAAGGGCUGUAGCAUUAGGCAGGUUGAACUGUGUUAAAGGGCUGUAGCAUUAGGCGGGUUGAACUGUAUUAAAGGGCUGUAGCAUUAGGCGGGUUGAACUGUAUUAAAGGGCUGUAGCAUUAGGCAGGUUGAACUGUAUUAAAGGGCUGUAGCAUUAGGCAGGUUGAACUGUAUUAAAGGGCUGUAGCAUUAGGCAGGUUGAACUGUAUUAAAGGGCUGUAGCAUUAGGCAGGUUGAACUGUAUUAAAGGGCUGUAGCAUUAGGCGGGUUGAACUGUAUUAAAGGGCUGUAGCAUUAGGCGGGUUGAACUGUACUAAAGGGCUGUAGCAUUAGGCAGGUUGAACUGUAUUAAAGGGCUGUAGCAUUAGGCGGGUUGAACUGUAUUAAAGGGCUGUAGCAUUAGGCAGGUUGAACUGUACUAAAGGGCUGUAGCAUUAGGCAGGUUGAACUGUAUUAAAGGGCUGUAGCAUUAGGCAGGUUGAAAAGCCAUUGGUCAGAGGGGAAAGAGAGGAAGCAAGCGCUGGCUGAACAAAGCAAAGAAGAACGACUGCACGGCUGAUGAACGGAACAGGUCGUGCAAACACAGAUCUCAGAACAGGCCCCAGAAGUACCUUAAGUAUUUUGCCGGUAGCUUGGUUUUGCAAGGUCUUGUUUUGAGGUUGGGGUGUCUGUGCCUGUGAAGGACCUCUUUUCUGCAAAUAUAAGCAGGGAUUUGAGAGGUGUGUCCACAUCGAGGGUAUAAUUUCCUUUGAUGGUUGUUCCUCCAGAAAUAAGGUACAGGUGAGCAGAUGAAUAUAGGAAGGCAGAGGACCAGAGGAGGUGGGUGGGGAAGGGGCUUUCCAAGCCCUCCAGGCCCUUUUCUGAAAGCCGAGCAACAGUGCUGGGCUUAUGAAACGGGUUGCAGGCUUCUAAGAGCAGCCUGAGACUCCGUGCUGCUGCAGGACAGGUAUCUGCCAUCUGACCUUGGAGCACACUGUUCUACAUCCCGUCUGCCCAGGUGUGUGACCUUCCUACCCCCUGGAAUGUGGCCCACCAGAGAUACAAUCAGCAGAAUUCCUCUGGCUCCCCAAGAAAUGCCCCUUUGGGAGACAAAAAAAGUCUAAACAAGCUGGAAAAAAAUGUGAACGGGUCCCCGUUUCUGCCUGAACAAUUGUCCCGUUAUUGUGACUAUGCCCAAUAAGGAGGGCGAGCGAUCAGAUAACACAUUUGCCAGAAGCCGUCCGUGGGGCACAUCUGAGGUGGGCCUGUCAGCAUCCUCAGCUCCGCUGCUUGGGCUUCUGUCCCUCUGUGUUGUGCUAUGUCACAUCUAGUAAACUGUAUGCAGUGCAGACUGUCAGAGUUGAAAAUAUGUAGCCAGGGUCACACGGUGUGGGGAACGGGAUAGAGAACCCGGUGCUGAAAGGGAAUCGCCUGUGCACAUCAGUAUUUAUUCACCUUCUGGUUCGAUGCCGUGAAGACAUCUCCACUAAGUCUGGUCUCAGAAAUCAAAUCCUGCCUCUGCCAGGAGAAAAAGACUUCGUGCAUCUAUUAGGAGAAGAUUCACAUCUGAUUUUGUGUACGAUGUGGGCGGCCGUCCACAUGCAUUUGAGGUUUGGGCAGAGGGUACCCCUGUUUAAAAAGAUGAGGUGCUUUCUACCCAGAUAGACACUUAGCCAUUUGGCUCUAUGGACGUUCUUCCUACAUGAAUCUGUGGCUGAAUAAUGACUCAAAGCGUGCAUGGAUCCAUGGAUGGGGAGGGAACUCUCCAAAGCAAACAAAGCCAACCCCGGCCCUGGCGCUGCCCGCUGGAUGCCACUUUCCUUUUGCUGGGCUCACUCCUCUGAAGGGGUCUCUCAAAUGAGGGGGAAACACCUGUCAAGUAUAUUUUUCUUUUAAGAAAAAAAUAAAUUUAGGAGCGUUUUGAAUGGCUCUGGCUUGGGCCCCACAGGGUCCCGCUUAUACUUUGUAAGCUCUCUGGCCUUGGCAGCCCCCGGAUUUUCAGCUGCCACGAAGCAGGGUGGAAAACAUCCUUGAUCCUCCAAGUUGUGACUCGGGGACGGGGUGCGGGGGGAAGGUUUGUACCAAGCGAAGCACAGCUGAGGAAUUGUAUCUGGGGAAAGCUGAGGAGCUUCAGAGCAAGCUAUAAUGUGCCAUUGUCAACCAAACGGCCACCCCAGUACCAGGUGUCCCACUACUACAUGAAAUAAUUUUCAUUCCCUCAAAACAAAGGUUAAGGUGUGCCAAUACAUUAAAAAUAAUAAUAAUACAUAUACAUUUAACAGUAGAAUUGUUCUCCCUGUUUCUUUCUUGUCGUCCUUCCUUUCUUUCUUCCCCUCCUUUUCUUCUGUCUGCCCAUAUAAUAGUCCUCCAUCCAUCCAUCCAUCCAUCCAUCCAUCCAUCCAUCCAUCCAUCCGUCGCUUAUUCUUUGAUGGAUGAACUGUUUCACACUUUAAUAGCUCAUCUCAAAGGGCCUGACCAAGGGAGGGACAAAAGUGAAGGAGUCAGUUCCUUGGCCUGAUACACGGGACACAGGCACAUGCUCUAGGGCAAGGAGCUAAGUAGUAGUGCUUCAACAUUGGUUUCAGGUGCCAAGCCAUAGCAGCCCCAUGGAAGUGAUCUCAGCUGUGUCAGCAUUGUAGCCGUGCACGCUCUCAGGGAAAUAGUCCACCCAAACCAUCAGGUUUGUGGGGCAUGAAUGAUACACUAAUUCUGUCUGACCUGCCUACACUCUGACUCUUCCCCCUUCACAAUAGUACAGCACUGUGGAGUAGUGGAAAAACAAACAAAAAAACAGGGACUUGGAGUUCUAUUUUCCCAAUAUAAAUUGCAGCUCCGCCUAGGAGCAGCUAAAGAAAUACUUAAUGUGGACAUGAAAGAAAUGCUGUUUCUGCUACUUCGCUAAGUUAAUGAAGAGACUAAUUGUAGUAGUGGUAUAGGUGUGUGUGGAGCAGUGGCCAUGGCAAGGCUCUGAAAUACUCACGAUCAUUUCUUCUAUGGCAUGACACCUGGAGAUAUCCCUGAAGCAACCAAUGAUAUGUUGCUUCGAAAGCAGGACACCAAGAGACAGCACAUUGUGGCUUUGAACAAAGGUCUGUCUAGUAAAUAAAGGUAUGUCAGGUUAUAGCCACGCCCAUCCAUUUGCAUAUCUGGGCUGCUUUCCAGCCAUUGGGCCCCAACUGAGUAGCCAUGACACAGCUUCCACCUGCUGGUCUGCAAAGCUUAGAAUGUUUACUGUCAGCACUUUAUGGGAAAGCAUUCCCCAUUCCCUGAUGUAAACAAUCAGAAAACAGAAUAACAUGUAACGUACUCCAGAGAAAGACCCUGCACGAGGAGGCAUGCAUAGGAUGUUUAUUACGUCAUUAUUCGCCUCUCAAGUAGCUGGAGACAAUCUAAAUAUUAAUCAGAAGAGGAAAGCUGUGGCAGUGGCAAAGAAUACAUUCUGUCUACAGGGAGUAAUGAAGAAAAAUCUCCAGUAGAGACUAUUGUGUGGGGGGCGGGGAGCAGGGGUGUUCCCAUUUGUGUAUGACACGUGAAACAUGCCGUAUAUCUCCUACCAUGUUGCCAUUUGUGUAAGACACGUGAAACAUGCCGUAUAUCUCCUACCAUGUUGCCAUUUGUGUAAGACACGUGAAACAUGCCGUAUAUCUCCUACCAUGUUGCCAUUUGUGUAAGACACGUGAAACAUAUCAUAUAUCUCCUACCAUGUUCCCAUUUGUGUAAGACACGUGAAACAUGCCGUAUAUCUCCUACUAGGUCAUGUGUAAAUAUACUGACGCAGAGAAAGGACUC